CCUACGGGCGGCAGCAGUGAGGAAUAUUGGUCAAUGGACGCGAGCCUGAACCAGCCAAGUAGCGUGAAGGAUGACUGCCCUAUGGGUUGUAAACUUCUUUUAUAUAGGAAUAAAGUGAUGCACGUGUGCCUUUUUGUAUGUACUAUAUGAAUAAGGAUCGGCUAACUCCGUGCCAGCAGCCGCGGUAAUACGGAGGAUCCGAGCGUUAUCCGGAUUUAUUGGGUUUAAAGGGAGCGUAGAUGGAUUGUUAAGUCAGUUGUGAAAGUUUGCGGCUCAACCGUAAAAUUGCAAUUGAUACUGGCAGUCUUGAGUACAGUAGAGGUGGGUGGAAUUCGUGGUGUAGCGGUGAAAUGCUUAGAUAUCACGAAGAACUCCGAUGGCGAAGGCAGCUUACUAGACUGCAACUGACAUUGAUGCUCGAAAGUGUGGGUAUCAAACAGGAUUAGAUACCCGAGUAGUC
This 460-nucleotide ribosomal RNA is filed under the name uncultured bacterium. Its description in RNAcentral is "partial 16S ribosomal RNA". It matches the Rfam family "Bacterial small subunit ribosomal RNA", at positions 338 to 795 of the family's 1533-position model. The record is from RNAcentral.